GUGUGGAAGCGCAGUAAUGUGUUGAGCUAACCUGUACUAAUUGCCCGUGAGGCUUAACCAUACAACACCAAAG
Molecule: ribosomal RNA, 73 nt
Filed under: Aliidiomarina soli
Lineage: Bacteria; Pseudomonadati; Pseudomonadota; Gammaproteobacteria; Alteromonadales; Idiomarinaceae
Description: partial 23S ribosomal RNA
Source: RNAcentral